GAUGAAGAACGUAGCGAAAUGCGAUAAGUAAUGUGAAUUGCAGAAUUCAGUGAAUCAUCGAAUCUUUGAACGCACAUUGCGCCCGCCGGCACUCUGGCGGGCAUGCCUGUUCGAGCGUCAUUUCAACCAUCAAGCCCCCAGGGGCUUGUGCUGGGGCCCUGCGGCUGCCCGCAGGCCCUGAAAACCAGUGGCGGGCUCGCUAGUCACACCGAGCGCAGUAGCACAUCUCGCUCAGGGCGUGCGGCGGGCUCCUGCCGUGAAACCCCCCACUGUAACCCCAAAGGUUGACCUCGGAUCAGGUAGGAAUACCCGCUGAACUUAAGCAUAUCAAUAAGCGGAGGA
RNAcentral lists this unclassified non-coding RNA (342 nucleotides) under soil metagenome. Its description in RNAcentral is "partial contains 5.8S ribosomal RNA, internal transcribed spacer 2, and large subunit ribosomal RNA". The stretch from base 1 to 120 matches the Rfam family "5.8S ribosomal RNA", at positions 35 to 154 of the family's 154-position model. The record is from RNAcentral.